GCCGCCGUGGUGGAAUUGGCAGACACCCAGGACUUAAAAUCCUGUUCUGGCAACAGAGUACCGGUUCGAUUCCGGUCGGCGGCACCA
RNAcentral lists this transfer RNA (87 nucleotides) under Ruminococcaceae bacterium OttesenSCG-928-A16. RNAcentral describes it as "tRNA-Leu". It matches the Rfam family "tRNA". From Rfam's summary of the family: Transfer RNA (tRNA) molecules are approximately 80 nucleotides in length. Their secondary structure includes four short double-helical elements and three loops (D, anti-codon, and T loops). Further hydrogen bonds mediate the characteristic L-shaped molecular structure. tRNAs have two regions of fundamental functional importance: the anti-codon, which is responsible for specific mRNA codon recognition, and the 3' end, to which the tRNAs corresponding amino acid is attached (by aminoacyl-tRNA synthetases). tRNAs cope with the degeneracy of the genetic code in two manners: having more than one tRNA (with a specific anti-codon) for a particular amino acid; and 'wobble' base-pairing, i.e. permitting non-standard base-pairing at the 3rd anti-codon position. Lineage: Bacteria; Bacillati; Bacillota; Clostridia; Eubacteriales; Oscillospiraceae. The record is from RNAcentral.